This 468-nucleotide ribosomal RNA is filed under the name uncultured bacterium. RNAcentral's name for it is "partial 16S ribosomal RNA". It matches the Rfam family "Bacterial small subunit ribosomal RNA", at positions 28 to 507 of the family's 1533-position model. The record is from RNAcentral.
GACGAACGCUGGCGGCGUGCUUAACACAUGCAAGUAGAACGGAAAGGCCCUGCUUUUGUGGGGUGCUCGAGUGGCGAACGGGUGAGUAACACGUGGGUAACCUGCCCUUGACUUUGGGAUAACUUCAGGAAACUGGGGCUAAUACCGGAUAAGAGCACCUGCUGCAUGGUGUGGGUUGGAAAGUUUCGGUGGCUUGGCAUGUACUUGCGGCUUAGCUGCUUGUUGGUGGGGUAGUGGAUUACCCUUGCUUUGACGGGUAGCCGGCCUGAGAGGGUGACCGGCCACAGUGGGACUGAGAUGCGGGCCAGAGUCCUACGGGAGGCAGCAGUGGGGGAUAGUGCACAAUGGGCGGAAGCCGGAUGCAGCAACGCCGCGUGCGGGAUGACGGCCGUCGGGGUGUAAACCGCUUUCGCCUGUGACGAAGCGUGAGUGACGGUAAUGGGUAAAGAAGCACCGGCUAACUACGUG